CGUGACAUGCACAUUCAACGGAUAUGAAAAGGAAGUCGCAGAAUAGGCUAUCAGCGAACGAACAAGUUACCCGGGGCUCCUACGUAGAAUCCGUGUCACUGUGGCAUUAUACCUGAAGGCUGAUGAUGACAAGGUAGGGUCUUUGGAGCUCGGUGUACACCAAUUGAAAGAGAAGUCAAGGUUCUGCUUUCAUGCUAGACGAUCAUAUUAACCUAUCCGACAGAGAAUCCGCCGCCCAUGGUCAUGCAGACGUCACGGAAUCGUCAGAGUAAGGCGCAAUCUGGUAAAGUUUGUGUGCAACUAGUAACACUACCUAUUGCAUGUACUUGCCAAUGACAUUAUGUGAAAAUCUGGCUAAAGUUGGGACACCCCAAAUACUUUUUGAUCUCCCUGGACUUGAUCUCCACAUUACUAUUUCUAAUACUUUACUAUUAGAUAUAGGCGGACUAAUUUUGUAGCGUUGAUAUCAAUGCACAACUUAUUGAUAUUAAUUAUUUAACUUGGCUGCUUUCUGCACGUGAUGGGAGGGAGAGUGGGAGGAGAGAAGAAAGCAGUCUGGGGACAGCUCUAUUGUAAUUGACUUCGGAAGAAGGCAGUGUUUGUCUUAAUCUUAACGUAAUACCAGGGGUUUCCCCAGGAAUUAAUAACAGCGCGGUAUUUUAUUAAUAUUAAUUAGCCACCGAGAUCUUAUCUUAAACAGAAGAAGUAACUUUCAUUAAUUAAUGAUUGUCAGACUUAUUGGUGUCGCCACUGACAUAAAUAUCAUGAAAGCGUGGUAGGAACAGAUGCCACAUGGAUAGUUACUAGGUCAAGGUGAUAUGCAUUACUGUCUUUAUCACAACACAACAAAUUCAUACCAGCAUCUGGUGGAUACAGAUCUUUGCUAACAGUAUCCACACUGUAGGAUAUGGAAGACAUGUUACACCUGCUUGAAGACCUGAACUGAUUGGAAUGCUGUCAGAGUAGACAGUUAUCAUGUAAGGAUGUUUAGUCAGAAGUGCUAACUUAAACGUUUAGCCUAUUACAAACAUAGUGAUAAUAAGGUCUUGGAAUGCUGUCAGAGUAUGAACUUAUCAUGGGAUGUAGUAGUCAGAGGUGAUAAGAGAUCUUGUACAGCUUACUAUGCAUACUAAAUUUUAGUAGUCCUGUGAGUAAAUACUGUGAAAUUUUAUAUUGUUAUUCCAGUUGAGUGGUUACACUCGGUAAAUCGAUCUGUUAGGGUACACUAAACAAGAAUGACAAACACCUCACACACAGUAAACAGUUACCUCAAAUGAGGGUUGACAAUGAAAGCAAAAGUUACUUGACUAUACAACACAAUGAUCUGGCCAAAUCUACUUGACGGCAGACAAGCACCUAGUUAUCUACAGGAUUAUGUGUACAAGGUGGCAUUGAAGAAAUGCUAAUUACAAAGCUGUGGGUGUGGUGAGCUGGGACUAAUGUCAGGUCAAUGCGCGAGCGACAGACUUCUAACCCUGUAGAUAAUUGGAUGCUGCUCUGCCGUCAGGUAAUUACGCUUUGGGCAGAUAAAAUUACGUGCUGUGCCGUUAAGUAACUUUUGGAAUUCCUUAUUAACCAUCAUUUGAGAUACAGUCAUCACCAUAGCACCAUCACCACAGCGCGGCGCAGUGCCUUGGCGCCGCGCUAUAGGGAAGCCCCUGAAUACCCACGUUCAUUAGAAACGGUGAGUCACUGACAAUCAUAUAACCACUUACAGCAAUCAGAUACCGAGUAGUAGUAACCGUUAGAUCCAUAGUGCAGUUGUUGUGUAUAAUGUCCACGGCUCGAAUGCCAAAGGAGUUUCUUGCAGCCGACAAGUGGUGGCUGUGGUAACCGCUUUCUGAGCUCCUAAAGCAAACACAAUUUGUUUCAAAGGAGCCAGGAUCUCUUCACAAAGCUUCAGCAAGCUACCGGAUGAGACAUCUGACACAGGUGGCCUUUCACACUACGUAUGUGGUUCGUGUAGAAGCAGACUGCUGACUUUCGAACGCGAGUGCAACAAACUUGAAUCCACGAAGGAGUCCAUUACGUGGACAUACAGCAAGAGACUGUCUUGUUGGAGGUUCAAGAUAGGAGUCAUAGCGUCUCCAACAAGUUCAUCUACUGUCAAGAAAUCAGACGUAACGGCCAGUUCCCGAUGGCUGGUGAUGAAAGACCCUCAUGAGAAACUGCUGGUGCUGCAAUUUAUUGCCCUUUCAUGCACAAAAUCGCACAUACCGUCUUUGCUGGAAAAUUUGCUGCAAAGAAGUCUGUAACACCUCAUUGUGUACGUCGCGCAAUGGCUUUACUGUCGUUACGUAUUCCAGUGCCCAUUUGUCGUUUACCUCAGCG
Corticium candelabrum is the source of this 2331-nucleotide long non-coding RNA. RefSeq lists it as uncharacterized. The transcript has 4 exons. NCBI's taxonomy places the organism in Eukaryota, Metazoa, Porifera, Homoscleromorpha, Homosclerophorida, Plakinidae. The record is from RefSeq and is a predicted model, not a curated record.